AGUGAACGCUGGCGGUAGGCCUAACACAUGCAAGUCGAACGGCAGCACAGUAAGAGCUUGCUCUUACGGGGGGCGAGUGGCGGACGGGUGGGGAAUACAUCGGAAUCUACUUUUUCGUGGGGGAUAACGUAGGGAAACUUACGCUAAUACCGCAUACGACCUACGGGUGAAAGCAGGGGAUCUUCGGACCUUGCGCGAUUGAAUGAGCCGAUGUCGGAUUAGCUAGUUGGGGGGGUAAAGGCCCACCAAGGCGGCGAUUCGUCGCCGGACUGAGAGGCUGAUAGGCCACCCUGGAACUGGGACACGGACCAUGCGCCUGCGGGAGGCAGCAGUCGGGAAUAGUGGACAGUGGGGGCAAGCCUGGUCCAGCCAUCCCGCGUGUGUUGAGAAGGCGUUCGGUUUGUAAAGCCCUUUUUUGGGGAGAGAACAGCAGCAGGUUAAUACGAAGCUGUUGUGACGGUACCUAAAGAAUAAGCACCGGCUAACUUCGUG
RNAcentral lists this ribosomal RNA (492 nucleotides) under uncultured bacterium. RNAcentral's name for it is "partial 16S ribosomal RNA". It matches the Rfam family "Bacterial small subunit ribosomal RNA", at positions 29 to 507 of the family's 1533-position model. The record is from RNAcentral.